Molecule: ribosomal RNA, 122 nt
Filed under: Schistocephalus solidus
Lineage: Eukaryota; Metazoa; Platyhelminthes; Cestoda; Diphyllobothriidea; Diphyllobothriidae
Source: RNAcentral
GUCAGCGACCAUACCACGUAGAAAGCACCGGUUCUCGUCCGAUCACCGAAGUUAAGCUACGUUGGGCCCGGUUAGUACUUGCAUGGGUGACCGGCUGGGAAUACCGGGUGUUGCUGACAUCU